This 301-nucleotide ribosomal RNA is filed under the name uncultured bacterium. RNAcentral's name for it is "partial 16S ribosomal RNA". It matches the Rfam family "Bacterial small subunit ribosomal RNA", at positions 509 to 809 of the family's 1533-position model. The record is from RNAcentral.
CAGCCGCCGCGGUAAUACGAAGGGUGCAAGCGUUAAUCGGAAUUACUGGGCGUAAAGCGUGCGUAGGCGGUGAGUUAAGCCUGUUGUGAAAUCCCCGGGCUCAACCUGGGAAUGGCAAUGGAUACUGGCAAGCUAGAGUGUGUCAGAGGAUGGUGGAAUUCCCGGUGUAGCGGUGAAAUGCGUAGAGAUCGGGAGGAACAUCAGUGGCGAAGGCGGCCAUCUGGGACAACACUGACGCUGAGGCACGAAAGCGUGGGGAGCAAACAGGAUUAGAUACCCCUGUAGUCCCUGUCUCUUAUCA